Heterocephalus glaber (naked mole-rat) is the source of this 7018-nucleotide long non-coding RNA. The record is from Ensembl. NCBI's taxonomy places the organism in Eukaryota, Metazoa, Chordata, Mammalia, Rodentia, Bathyergidae.
AUAUAUAUAUAUAUAUAUAUAUAUAUAUAUAUAUAUAUAUAUGAAUCUGUCCAUUUCACCUACAUUUUUCAUCUUAUCGGAGUACAGGUUCUCAAAGUAGGUGCUGAUGAUCUAGAUUUCUGCAAGAUCCAUUGUGAUUUUUCCCUUUUCAUUCCCAAUUGUGUGGGCUUGGGUCUUUUCUUUCCUUUUUUUGAUAAGGUUGGCCAAGAGUUUAUUUUAUUUAAUCUUUCAAAGAACCAAUUCUUCGAUUCAUUGAUUUCUUUUAUAUUGCUUUCUUAGUCUCAAUUGCAUUAAUUUCUGCUCUGAUCUUUAUAAUUUCAUCCCUCAUACAUGCUUUUGGUUUAACUUUUCAUCUUUUGCUAGAAGCUUGAGGUUCAACAUUAGCUUAUUUAUUUGAGCUCACUCUGUUUUUAUGAUGUGGGAAUUCACCACUAUAAAUUUUCCUCAUAGGUCUGCUCUCAUUGCAUCCCAUAAGUUCCAGUAUGUCGUAUCGGCAUUAUUGUUAAUUGUAGAAACUAUCUAAUUUCUUCUUUCAUUUCAUCUGUGACCCAUUCUUUCAGGAGGGUAUUAUUUAAUUUCCAUGUGUUAAUGUAGUUUUUGUGGUUUCUUUUGCCAUUGGUUUUUAAUUUCAUUGCACUAUGAUCUGAUAAUAUGCAUGGUAUAAUUUCAGUUCCUUUGCAUUUACCUAAGCAUGUUCUGUGAGCUAGUAUGUGGUCUAUUUUGGAGAAAGUCUCAUGUGCUGUUGAGAAGAAUGUGUAUUCUAUUGUUAUUGGGUGAAAUACUCUCUAGAUAUCUACCAAGUCCAUUUGUUCAAAGAUUUGGUUCAUCUCUGAUAGUUCUUUGUUGAUUUUUUUGUCUACUUAAUUUGUCUUUUUUUUUUCUUGGUACCGGGGAUUGAACUUGGCUCCUUGCACUUGCCAGGUAGGUGCUUUGCCACUGAGCUACAUCCCCAGCCCUAAUCUGACUAUUUGUGACAGUGGGGCAUUGAGGUCUCCCAUUACAAUUGUAUUAGUGCUUAUCUGAUUUUUCAUAACCAUUAGCGUUUGUUUUAUAUAGUUGGGUGUGGUAGUAUUUGAUGCAUAUAUAUUUAUGAUUAUCUCUUAUUGGACUGUUCCUUUAACAAGUAUGUAGUGACUUUCUUUGUCUCUUGUGAUUAGUCUUGGCUAGAAAUCCACUUAGUAAACAAAUGGAAUAGUCACCUCUGCUUUUUUUCCAGGUUCCUGUUUCAUGGAGUAUUGUUUUCUAUCCCUUGACUUUCAGUCUAUGAAUUUAUUUUGACUUAAAUGUGUUUCUUGUAUGCAAAAUAUUGUUAGAUCUUGUUUCUUGAUCCAUUCUGCCAAUCUGUUUCUUUUGAUUAGUGAAUUGAGACCAUUCACAUUCAUGGUUAUAACUGAUAUUGAUUUAUCCUUGGCAUUAUAUUAUUUUCCUGUUGUUGGUUCCUUUUCUUUCCCUUCUAUUUAAUUGCUUGCCUUGCUUGGUGGAUUCAAUCUAUUAGGAUUGUUGGAAUUGUCUUCAUUGUCUUUUUUUAGAAUAUUCCUUAGAACUUUUUGGAGUGCUGGUUUGGUGGUCAUGAAUUUCUUCAGGUGUUCUUUAUCAUGGAAGUAUCUUAUUUCUCCAUCAAUUUUGAAAGAUAACUUUGUUGGAGGUUGUUUUCUUUUAGGGCUUGAAAUACUUUGCUCCAAGCUCUUCUUGACUUAAGGGUUUGUGUUGAGGAGUCUGCUGUGAUUCUGAUGGGCUUUCCUUUAGAGGUGAUCUGUUUCUUUUCUCUAAUAGCUUUUAAUAUUCUGUUCUUGCAUUGCAUUUCUGGCAUCUUGACUAUUGUAUCCCUUGGUGUAGCUUUUUUCUGAUCAUGGCUAAUUGCAUUUCUAUAUGCCUCACUUAUGUAUAUAUCAAUUUUUUUUCCAUGGUUGGAAAGUUCUCUGCUAUUACUUCUGUGAACAGAUUUUUUAUUCUCUUUGUACUAUCUUCUGAUUUUUCAUUGAUUCCAGUUAUAAUCUUAUGUUAGUCUUGUUUGCAUUAUCUAGCAGCUGUUGGAUUAACUUUUUGCUAUUUUUAAGAAAUCUUUCAUUUGGUGAUCACCAACUACAAUCCUGUCUUCUAGAUCAGAUAUUCUAUCUUCACAUUGGUUGACUCUGCUGUGUAUACAUUGAAUAGAAUUUUUAAUCUCCUGCAUUUCAAUUUGAAUCUGUUUUAUGGAAUCCAGUUCUUUUUUAUGUUGGGCAUUAAUGGUUUCUAUGUCUUUCCUAAGCUCCUGUAUUUUAAAAAAUCUGUAUCUGAAAAAAAAAUGAAAAUAAAGGGAAAAAAUGGAAAAAAAAGAAUAAAAUAUGUAUCUACUCUAGAUUUAUGAACCAUUUCCUUCAUUAUGGUCAUCAUCUCUAAUUAUCUGUGUGAUUAUUUCUGUUUUGAUUUUGUCAAGAGUCUUAUUUAUCUGUUUUGUUACUUCUGCUGAUACCAUUUCAGAAGGGUCCACUGGGGGGCUUUUGAUUUCUUCCACCUCAGUGCCCCCUGGAUUUGCCUUGGGUGAGUUUGGGGUAUUGGAUUCAUCUUGCUUCCAUGUUUUCUCAUUUUCUCUUUGUUUUCUGCAUUGAGGCUUGUAAAUUGCUUACGGUAGGUAGCUUUAUUAAUAGUAUCAAGACCUCUUUAGGAAAUGACUACUUUUCAGGGAUGUCUUCUAGGCAUGGCUGACUUUUGGCCUUUGAGUCUAUCUGGAUCCUUUGGCCAGGAUCCUGCAUCUUCUGUUUAUUUUGUUGUGUUUUUUUUUUUUUAGUUCUUUUAUUGGUACAUUUUAGGUAUACAAUUCAUUUACAUUUAUCAUUGGGUGUUUGUACAUGCAUCUUCUGUUUAUUAGGGGUGCAAGUUUGCAGCCUGUUUGGCCUAGCACCCAGUUCUUUGAUACUGGUCUAUAGCCUUGUUUAUGACUCCUAAAUCAUCUAGCUAUUGCCAUACAAGGAAGAUAAAUUGAUCACAACAACUGUGUCACCUUGGUUAAAGUGCACAAUCAGUAAUAACAUUAGCAUCAAAUACAGACUGGAAAGUGACAAACUGUGAUAACAAAUAGUUUACUACCUUUAACCCUAGGUGUAAGAUUUAUAGUUAUAUAGCAAGAUCUAAGAGAAAUCAGGAAAUUAUAUAUAUUAAAUAUCUACUCAAUAGAGCAACUUUAUCCCAAGGGGAGAAAAUUUAAAAGGUAGAGAAGGAAAAAAUAGAGAAACGAAAGAAGAGAGAGAUUAGAAGCAAGGUUGAAAGACAAAGGAAUAUUACCCAAGCCUCAAGAAGAAGUUUGAAGGGAAGAAGACAGAAGGGAAGGAAAGAAGGAGAAAAUGAAACAAGACAAGAAAAUUACUAAAAACAGUGUUCACACUCACACACACACACACACACACACACACACAAGCAAUGGGGUGGUGGUGGGGGAAUGAACAAAAAAAAUACCAAAAGCAAAGAAAAAAAGAAAAAGAAAUUUCUCUGUGAUUUCAAUCCUGUGGCUAUCACCUGAGGUCUACAGUUUCCUGGCAGUUCCAAUUCAAGGUGUGACUCUGUUCUCACUAGUAGACAGGGGAGGCUUUCAGAGCCUAGAUCCAUGUGGGGUAAUCCCAGCAAGAUGGCAAUAGGAUUAUGGUGAGAUGCCAGUUUGGGGACUUUCAAAUACACAGAAAUUCAGGCCGAACCUGCCUUCUGCUUGUGGGAGUGGGGCCUGAUAUCUCUUGCCUCCCUGACCACAGCUCCCUGACCCUGGACAUCUGUGGCUGUCCCUCACCCAGUCACUGAGUCAGUUUAACACUGGUAGCCCUGAGAUGAAGCCAACCUGCAGCUACUCUGAGUCUCAGGUUCAGUUGACUCCUCCCUAAAAUGGCAUCCAAACAGGCCCUCUCUCCAGUGCAUAUGGCAGAUGCUUGGACUGGAGUCACUCACCAGCUAUUGUGCAUGGCAUCCACUGCUCCAUUCCACUGGUGCAUUUCUCCCUGAAGGCAUCUGGUGUCAUCCACUCUGUAGAUUCAAUCUUCUUUUCUUUGGUCACAAGCUAGAAGCCAGGAAGAAAGGAGGGGAUUGCCCCUUCCUUUUUCUCUGUUUUGGUCUGUCUUUUCAGUUUCUCUGUAGGCUCCAGUUUUCCCUUCAAAUCCUUCCUGGGUCCCAGGGAUCCACCUCCCUCCUUUUCUUUCCCAAGUUGUUAUUUUCCAGUGUCUGGAUUCCGAAUCUUGGAGAGGCUGAUUUGUUGCUGCUUACUGCUCUGCCAUCUUCCCGGAAAUCUCAAGAUUUACAUUUAUUAAGGGGGAGAUGUCUUCUUGUCUACUCUCUUUUUGUGAAGACAAUGGCACAGCUGAAAUUACAGAAUAAAAUGUGAGAAAGUUAAGUAAUGCUUUGAAAUCUCAGAGUUAUCCUGUUCAGAAAGAUGAAUAAACAACAGAAAGGUAAAAUCAUCCAAGAGCUAAAACGAAAACAAGAAUUGAUGGGGAUUUAACUUUUUUUUUCUCUGAAAUGAAAAUGGUUAUUUAAUCUUUUUAAUAUAAACAAAAUUGGCCGGUGGUAUAACUGAAUGGGUGAGCAUUUGCCUAGCAUGCAUGAGUCCCUGGGUUCCAUCCCCAGCAGCAAACACACACACACACACACACACACACACACACACACACACACACACAGAACAACACAUAACUGCUCAUCGCAAACAUUUAAACAGAAUGUAGGCAAAAAAGAUCUCCAGAAUGACCCCUUGCAAGUCCCAGAAGGAGAGGUUAUAAACAUGGUAUUGUGGAGGGAUAUCCUUUGUGCUUUGUGGGUAGAGCGGAUCAGGACAGUGAGGAAGUAUACUCUCUCAUUGUUCAACUUCUUGACCAAAUUGCAGCCAUCUGAACACAGAGACAUGGCAGUGGGCUCCAGGAUGGAGCUAGUAUGAGCUGAUCCGUCAGGUGACAAAUACCUUCAGGCUACAAUGUGCUGAGCAAGCCAUUUCUGUCUCAUUUUGUGCCUUCCAUCUUCAUUAUGGCCUUAAAUGCUAUCUGCAUUGCUUCUCAUUUCCACUGGCAGGGAACCAAGCCUCCUGGUUGGGAGGCAGCCGGAGAGCACUGAUCUGCUUGGCUGUGGCCCCAAAUCCUGUAAUCUACUGUGCUCCCUUGGGAAGGUCCAGUCUCCUCCGGAAGAUGAAUUCCCCAUGCUUUUCUGUGGGGCAAGAAAGGUGUCCUUUGGCAGGAUAGUGUGGUUUAUCUCAAGAGCCACCAGGUGUCUCUCUGACCAAAACAACCUCCCAAAUCAGCAGCCAGAACCCAAAUUCUUUAUCUUUUUUUAACACGUGAAAAUUCAAAUAAAUAUCAUUGUAAUGAAAACACAGUGACAAAGAAGAGUGUGAGGCUAGAGUUUAUCCCUUGCACCUGGGUGCCUCUAAGCUCCAACACAUUUAAUAUCUGGGCUUGCAGCCAGGGUUUCAGAGCCGCCUUACACUUACAUUUAGCUUUACAGAGUGCACACUGGGAUGACUCAACAGAGAAGCUCCAUAUUUCUCUGUCAUUAUGUACAUUUCAGAUAUUCUUGCAAAUUUGGAUACUGUUUUUAGACUUGAACAUUUUUUAUACGUAUGUUUAAAAGUAUUUUGAAAUUUUUUGUGGCUCCAGACCCCAAGUUCUAAAACUCCUGUGUUUGCCUUGGGUCCAUAGGACCUGACCCCAAACCCCUAGGCAAAAGCAAUGUCAAUCGCAGACCUGGUACCUUGGUGGCCUGCAGAGAAAUCCUCACCCAGGACCACUUGUCAUGACCUCUUUUUCCCACUGUUCAAUGAGGGGAUAGUACCUAGGAAACCCCCACCAAGUGCAGUAGAGCCAAUGGUGCCUGGUAAUCUCAAUAGACCUCAGAUGUGUUGCUCUGUCCCCCUUCAGAUCAUUCUUCCUCACUGCAGUUGAAAAAAUGUCUGGCACCUCUGCUGCUCUAUGGAAAUGGGGACAGUGAUAGUAGCUCUUCUCACAGGGAUACUGUGUGGGGUGAUGAGGUCAUCUGGGUAAAGCACUUGGUAAGCAAUGGGCAAAGUGCCUGCCACAUCCUGAGAGCUGAACAGAUGUCAGCUGCUGUGUCAUUAGCAAUGGGGUCUAUUUUCUAGGGAAGAAAAACAACUUAGCCUUUCCACCCUGAGCAGGUAAAAGCCAUCUUUAUAUGUUCCAUGAUUGAGCUGGAGAAAGCACCUAUAUACAAGUCUGCUGCCCCUGCCCUGGGAUUAAACCCAGGGCCUUACACAUACUAGACUCUAUCACUCAGCUCUACCCCAAGACCCAGUUCUCCUAAGACACUGGGCUGUUAAUGGAUGUUUGCUUUAACAGGAUCAGCCUCAGGAAAAUAAACACUGGAGAAAAAGUAGUUUCUUUAACAAAUGGCACUGGGAAAGCCGAUGUGCAGAAGAAUUAAUCUAGACCCAUAUCUCUCACCAUGUAUUGAAAUCAAAUCAAAAAGGGCCAAAGGCCUAUAUAUGAAAACAAAUGUUGAAUCUGCUGGAAGAUAAAGUAGGUAAAAACCUUUGAAGACAUAUGUAUAGGCAAGGACUUUCUAAAUAGAACUCCAGUUGCACAAGAAAUAAUACCAGGAAUCAACAGAAAGGAUUAUAUCCAAAAUUUCUAUAAAAUGGAGUACUACUCAGCCAUAAAGAAUGAGAAAUUAGAGACAUUUAUAGCUAAAUGGAUGCACAUUGAGACAAUACUUUUUUUUUCCCUUAAAUUCUUUUAUUGGUACAUUUUAGGUAUAUAAUACAUUUACAUUUAUCAUUGGGUACUGUACCUGUACACGAUGUAUUUUGGUUCUUAUUUUCUCCCCAUUCCCUGUCCUCCCUUGAGGUGAUACUCCUAAGUGAAAUAAAUAGGACACGUGUAAGUACUGAAUAGUUUCUCUAGUGUGAGAAACUGAAAGUGUAAAUAAGGACUAAAAGGUAUAAUAGAUAAUGUGAAAUAGGAAGGAAAGUGGCAAAGGGGAAGGGAAAGUUGGAGGGGUAGGGGAAAAGAAAGAAGGAAAUGGGAUUAAUAUGAGAAAAGGAAAAAAUGGAAACAAA